UACGUAGGUGGCAAGCGUUGUUCGGAAUUAUUGGGCGUAAAGGGUGCGUAGGCGGGUCUUUAAGUCAGGGGUGAAAUCCUGGAGCUCAACUCCAGAACUGCCUUUGAUACUGAGGAUCUUGAGUUCGGGAGAGGUGAGUGGAACUGCGAGUGUAGAGGUGAAAUUCGUAGAUAUUCGCAAGAACACCAGUGGCGAAGGCGGCUCACUGGCCCGAUACUGACGCUGAGGCACGAAAGCGUGGGGAGCAAACAGG
Molecule: ribosomal RNA, 253 nt
Filed under: uncultured bacterium
Lineage: Bacteria
Description: partial 16S ribosomal RNA
Rfam family: Bacterial small subunit ribosomal RNA
Source: RNAcentral